AUGAGCUUAUCAGCUGUCAUUGGGGCCAUCGGUGGCAUCAAUGAGUGUGUCACUUUCGGGCAGUGGGCUAAAUCCACCAUUUCAUCCCUGCACUCCCGAUGGAGUGGCUCACAGGAGGAGGAUCUCCAGGAUCGUGCAUUGAAGUUGGAGACUGGCCUAAAACUUCUGAGGGACACUCUUCCUACAAUGCACGACCUCAUUAAUAAAGCAGAGUGGAGGAGCCAUGAUGAUGGUGUGGCAAGUCUCCUUCCCAAUCUCAAGGAUGCAGUGUAUGAUGCCGAGGACCUUCUUGAUGAGUUCACAUGGUACGAGAAGAAGGUGCAAGUGGAGGGCGAUGCAAGCCACUCUCCUUUCAUUGACUUCUUUAAUACCGUCAUUCAAGGCAGCUUCAACAAACUGGAUAGCAUCCAGUCGAGGUUGAGCCAUCUCUCGAGUCAGAUGGAGAGUAUAGGGCUUCAUGGAGUCGAACAACACUUUGACAAAUUAGUCAGGCCAGAGAGCAUCUCCUGUUUGCCGCGAAAGGGAAAAAAUAUAUUUAUUGGUCGUGACAAGGAGCUGAAGCGGGUCUUGGGAUUUCUCAAUGUACUUAAACGGAAGAGAGCAACUAGUUCAAUCAAUGCAUCAACAAGCACAUCAACAAGCAACCCUGCUAAUAAUGAAUCAAGUCUUCCUGUUUCGGUUAUAGGUGGAAUUGGUGGUGUUGGAAAGACUACAUUGGCCCAGCAUAUCUUCAGUCAUGAAAAAGUGCAAUCUCAGUUUGAGAAGAGAAUUUGGAUUUGUGUCUCAGAUGACUUUGAUGCGAAGAGGUUAACGAAAGAGGUCAUACAAUCCUUUACUGGAGUAGUGCCAACAACUGAGAGUAGUUUGGAAUCUCUUCAGAAUGCUCUGAAGAAGCAUGUGAACAAUAAAAGGUUAUUGAUUGUCCUUGAUGAUGUGUGGGAUGAUGCCUUGAAGGAAAAUGGGCAGCGUUGGGAGCAGUUUUAUGCACCUUUUUGCAGUGUCCAAGAGGGAAGUGCGAUGUUGGUCACCACUAGAUGUCCAAAUGUUGCCAAGGAUGUGUGCACAACUGGGACUGUUAUAUUAGAAAGUCUAGAGGAUGGCGCCUUCAGGAAAUUUUUCAAAUUAUGCAUGUUUGGAUCUGAGGAUUCUAGCAAUCAUCCUGACUUGGAGCGCAUUGGUGAAAGUAUACUUCCUAAAUUAAAGGGUUCUCCUUUGGCCGCCAUAACUCUGGGCCGCAUGUUGAAAGCAAUCCCUGAAGUAUCACGUUGGAAUUCUAUACUUGAGAGUGAACCGUGGGCGUGGAAACAAAAGGAGACCGACAUUUUACCUGCCCUUCGGUUGAGCUACAUAUAUUUACCAUUCUACUUGAAGCCAUGCUUCGCAUUCUGCGCUUUGUACCCCAAAGAUUACAAAUUUGAGAAGGCAAAGUUAGCUGAAAUUUGGGUGGCAGAAGGCUUCGUGGAGCCUCAAGGUGGUGUUCCCAUUCAAGAUGUUAGCUGUCAGUAUUUUGAAGAUCUUGUAGCACAGUCCUUCUUUCAGGAGGUUAAUGGUGGAUACGUAAUCCAUGACCUGCUCCAUGACAUGGCACAAAUGGUUUCAAAGCACGACUGCUUCAUCUUAAGAAACAAGAGUGACUUUGAUAAAGUUCCCCAGAAUGUUCGUCAUCUAUACGUACUCCCUAGCAGUGACUUUGAUGAAUCCAACUUGCCGAGCCUAUGCAAGUACACAAAGCUGCGUACCCUAAUUUGCAAGAAGAGUUUAGGAAGAAAUGCAUGUAUUGUAAUGGGUCGCUGGUGUACUGAACUUCUCCAUAUGCGUGUGAUGUCUUAUGCCUUCACAGAUAUGUUACCAGAUAAUAUUGGCAACUGGAAGAAUCUUCGGUACCUUGAAAUCUCUAGACCUUGUUAUUUGAAGAAGAUUCCUUCAACUUUCUGUUGGCUAUAUAAUAUGCAGAUUUUCUAUGCCAAGAAAUGCCAGAUGGAAAUGCCCGGUGACUUUGGUAAGUUGAUCAGUUUGCAGAAAUUCGAAUCAAACGGAUUAACUCUUGAUUCCGCCAAUAAAGGGGGAAAUGGAGUUAGGUCAAUAAAGAAUCUGAACCAAAUUCGUGGAUACUUGGUGAUAAAUAAUCUUGGCGCCCUAAGUAAGGAUCAGGCAGCGGAAGCUGAACUGAAAAAUAAGGAAUAUCUUGAUAGGUUGACACUGAAUAUGCAUAUGCCAAGGGUUUUAGGCUACCCUUUGUCUCACACCAUCCAGAACAGAGAAGUGCUUGAAGUUCUACAACCUCCUAUCAGCCUCAAGUUUCUGGUCCUAGAGAAUUAUGGCGGUUCCUCACUCCCAAGCUGGUUUCAGCCACAAAACUUGCCAAGUUUAGAAUCACUCACUUUUGUAAGAUGUGAUGGACUCAACAGCAUAAACUUAAAUGAGAUACUCGCAUUCCUAUCCCUCACAGACUUAACAAUUGAAUGGUGCAAAAAUAUAUCAAGCCUCGAAGAUCUUCUGCAUCAAGGUUAUGUACCAAGCAUCAAGAAAAUAGGAAUUAGAAAUUGCAAGAUCUUACCAUCAAUACCAACUGAAAAGUUCCGGGAUUUGCAAUUUCUUGAAGACCUGUGGAUAUCCGAAUGUCCAAACAUCCGCCUCCAGAGAUUGGUUUCGCAGUCCCUUAAGAAGCUCGGCCUGUGGGGUUCUGGUCUCUUUUGCAAUAUCGACUGCUGCUCCCUCACUGAAUUUACUGUAUCAUGCAAGUCUAUCACAUACAUCCAACUGCAAACGUGGAGUCUUCCAGCACUACAGAGCUUGGAAAUUAGCUGUGGAUCUCUUACGUCUAUUGGAGACUCCCCUAAUAGUUCCAUUUCCGCGGGCACUGGCAGCAUUAGAGCAUUCUCAUCCCUUAAAGUCAUAGCAAUUUCUCGCUGUGCUAAAUUGCCAACCCUUGAUGACCUGCUAACACAAGAGUAUCUACCUGCCAUUGAGAAAAUUGAAAUUAGCUAUUGUUUGAAGUUAAAGUCCCUGCCAGCUGAAAGGUUUGGGAGUUUUCCUUAUCUUAAACAUCUGAAGAUUUAUUCGUGCCCAAGUCUCGAGUGGCAAAGAGGUUUGGUGCUGCCAACAUACCUCCAAAGCCUCUGCUUAAUGGAAUGUGGGGAUAUCUCUCCAUAUGUUCCCGGAUGCCUACAGAACCUCACAUCCCUCGUCUCACUUGAAAUUGGUGGAUGCAAUGGUAUAACAUCCAUUCCAAGCAACAUCUGGUACAAUAAUCAUGUAUCACUCCAGAAAUUGGUGAUUGAGAAUUGUCCAGGCCUAGUUUCAAUCGGUGGAGCAGAAGCACUUGCAAAUAUCAAGGAGGUGAAGAUAUGCGGGUGUCCAAACUUAGCGAACGAGGAGCAGAUCAAUAGAAGAUCCGGCCCAAGUACAAGGAGGAUAUGGAGGACUAGGUGA
RNAcentral lists this ribosomal RNA (3432 nucleotides) under Triticum aestivum (bread wheat). Its description in RNAcentral is "partial small subunit ribosomal RNA". The record is from RNAcentral. Lineage: Eukaryota; Viridiplantae; Streptophyta; Magnoliopsida; Poales; Poaceae.